Molecule: long non-coding RNA, 715 nt
Filed under: Capsicum annuum
Lineage: Eukaryota; Viridiplantae; Streptophyta; Magnoliopsida; Solanales; Solanaceae
Description: long non-coding RNA (CANN_LNC004295)
Source: RNAcentral
UCAAUGUCGCCUUAUGGUGCCCAAAAAGGUUUUCACCAAUCAGACUCUCUCAUUUUUACUCAUUCAUUUUUCAUCAUUUUUUUUUGAAAAUAAUGCCCAAUCACGAAACAUCAUGCACCCAUAACAUGUUUAGCCUUGACAUUCUCAAAGAUCGAUCUGAAGGUCUUUCUUUGGUUGUAACUUGGCUUUUGGAAAGGAUUAGAAAGAAAGGUCGGCAUGAGGCUCAAAAAUUUACAUAAUAUUAAGUGAAACAUACAACUUUUGGAAUCGACUUUUUAAGGAAAUAAACUUUGUCCCAGUUUCAUUUCAUUCUGGGUAAUUUGAAUUUUCUUUUGGUUAGACCGAACCCCAGAGUAGGAUUGCCUACGUAUCUUGUCACAGCAAGAAUCAAGUCAAACGUAGUUCAGGAAUCUUGUUCUUUUGCUUGAUUUUCAUUCUUUUUUUUCUUGACUUUUCUCUCUUUUUCUUUUUCUUCUUUUUUUUAGAGAGAGAGAUAUUUUUUCCGACUCCAUUUUUCUUGACACUUUUCUGACUCUUCUUUUUCUUGACACUUCUUUUUUCGACUUUUUCAAAUUCUAUUUUGAUUUCAAAAGAGGGAUAUAAAAGAAAUAAAACAAAAACUCAAAAGGGAUAACAAAGGAUGACACAACAUUUGGAUAGCAGAAUGAAAUGCCUUCGUCAUAUCAAUCCUUAAAAACACAAGUACAUAACCUGU